AAAGAGUGAAAAUGAAAAAGAUGAAACCAGAAUGAAAAAAGUAAAAAAAGAACAAAAAUAUAAGUUAUAAAAAAAUAUAUUUUAUGAAUUUUCAUAAAGAAAUCUUGACAAAUAUUCAUAAAAAUCUAAUAAAUUUUAUUCGUUGUUUGAACUGUACUAUGCAUACAACGUAUAUUUUUUUCUAUUAGUUUCAACUUUUGCCAACUACGGCGCAGCAAUCAAUUUUAGAAUAUACUAAUGAAAAUGAACAAUAAUAAUACUAAUUCUUAAUACAUCGCCGAGGCUAUUCUCAGUCAAUAAUGGAAAAAAUAAACGCGAAUGCGUAAAUUGAAAGCGUGAAAAAUUUAAAGUCAAUACAUUGAAGAGAAUACCAGCUUGUAAAAUUUUCAAAAUAACUUAUAUACAUCCUCGAUCCUUCGUUUAUUAACCUUAAAAAUUUUAUCUUAAAAUCUUUAUUAUUAUUGUCCGUUCGAUCCUCAUUUAUAUUUCAAUUAAAAAUGGAGGCGGAAUACGAAAUGAAGGCUUCUUAAUUCUUAAAAUGUAGAAAAUAUACGUUUCAUCGGUCGAAGCCGACGUAAUAUUGACAUUCGAAUAAUCGUAUUCCGCGAUGUUUCAAAUAGCAGCAAGAAGUGUUUUAGGAUGCUCGUUAGCUUAAUGAGUGUCGAGCUCUGAACAAGUAACGCUAAUCGGUAACGGAGUUUCUCGUUAUCGUUCGUUUUCCGGGGAACUAGAUCGUUAUGGCGGCUAACUAAUUUAACUCGUUCACUAGGUCACUUGUUCGCAAGAAAAACUGGAAAGGGAGCGGGCGCAUGGAUUUUUUCCCACGAUUUUUCCUUUUGUUUCCGCUUUUUUAAAAGUCCGCUUUCUAUCGAUACAAAACGGAACAGGGAGUGUAAUUGAAAGCUUAAAAGCGGUACGAAAUUAAACGGUGCAACUAAAUGUGAAUUUAUUGUGUUCGAAUUUUUGCCCCCGAUAGACGGUUAUACACUUGUAAUCCGAAGGUUCAAAGCAAUUUGAUCAUUUUCUGCUUUGAAUUGCGAUUUAAAAUUAUAUUUAAUUCGACACAAAGGGUUAUUCUCGUUUGGAAAUUCGAAAAAUUGUUAAAUUUGCAUGAUUUGACGCUUCACGAGAAAUAAUGGAGUGUUGAAAAUGUGAAAUGAAAAUUUUAUUAUAUUAAAAGUCCUUAAUGCGGGGAUGGAUAAUAAUAUGCACUACUCGAAAUUUUUUAAAAAAUUAAAAAACGAACACAAAUCAAAAGUCAUCUUAAGAGUCGUACAAUGGGCAACCAACUGAAAGCAGUUUCAG
Long non-coding RNA from Apis cerana (Asiatic honeybee), 1305 nucleotides. RefSeq lists it as uncharacterized. NCBI's taxonomy places the organism in Eukaryota, Metazoa, Arthropoda, Insecta, Hymenoptera, Apidae. The record is from RefSeq and is a predicted model, not a curated record.